GUAAACAGACGUGAUAUGAUAGGAGCAGACGCUUCCAACGUGUGUACACAGUUGGGUUUGGUGUCUCAUGUUCUUGCCAUUUGUCAUGACAACAGGCCCCUGAUUGCUGAUGUUUCAGGGAGAAUGUGGAGAAAAGGAGACUAGAUCUGAGCCUAUAGAAACCUGGAACCAAACCUGGGACCUGCAGACAGACACAUAAGCAAGAAAAGCAAAUGAAUCUAGGGGUGGCUUGUUGUGCAGCAUUACUAUGGCAAUAGCUGACUGAUACACCUCUCUAUGGGGAAAGUCAUCCAGCUCAAGAGGGAUAUUUCUAGGCACUGGUGGGUGAUAGAGGGAGCACUGGCCCAUAGACUGGGAAGCCACCCAGGCUGCAAGAGUGGGCCUGGCAGGAAUAGGCCCAGGGACUCAGAUGCCCAGAGGAUUCAUUUCAUGGCUCAACUCUGGCUCAAGGAGCUGGAAGGACAGAAGCCAGAGGCAGUUUUUUUUUUUUUUUAAGUUCCGUUCUACCAAACUGAGCAAAAAAAUCUAUCCACCACUGACCAGUUCUCAGCUGAAGAAGAACUUUGUUCUAAAAAGUGAGGGCUGCUGCUAGUCCUCUUCCACCAGAUGGAGCUGCUACUAGUCCUCAUCCACCAGAUGGAACGCUGAGAAGCUACAACAUUCUGUUCUACCCUCGGAUCCCUUCUGACCCAGACCCAUAAGCCAGUCUUGAAGUCCUUGCUGAAGGUAGAAAGUUCCUGCAGGGAAUCAGGAAGAUGGGGGAGGGGGUCACUACUGUGUCCUCUGCUGCUUGGACAGCAGUUCUUGGGCAGUAGCACAGCGGCUGGGGGUUCGAUGACUGUGCUCUUCUUGGGGUCAGGAGUGGGCAGCGGGGGACUGUGUGGCAGAGAGGGUAGAGCCUUUUCCUUACCCACCCCCAGCCAGCAGUGCCUUGAUGCAGAGGGGUAGAACCCUGGCCGGCCUUUUAAUUCUGCUUGCUCAGCUCUGGAGUCCCCACUGUUUGCACAUGGUUGACCGAUGCCUUUCCUUUUCAGACCUGUCUUGAAUGUCUAUACCCCUUUUUACGUCUUUAUUGGUAUUUUAAGGAGGGGGGGGUCUUAUAAUGGACCUGAUAGGAUGUCACUUAAGUUGGAAGUGUCUGUCCUUGAUUUUAAAAGAAAUUUCCUGAGGUGCUGUGGGCUCCUAAUAAGGGAGGCA
Molecule: long non-coding RNA, 1197 nt
Filed under: Sus scrofa (pig)
Lineage: Eukaryota; Metazoa; Chordata; Mammalia; Artiodactyla; Suidae
Description: lncRNA (ENSSSCG00015017404.1)
Source: RNAcentral